AUACUUACCUGGUAGGGGAGACACCGUGAUUCUCAAGAUGGUUUUCCCAGGGUGAGACUUAUCCAUUGCACUUGCAGGUGCCUACCCCUUCAAUUUUCCCAAGUGUGGGAAACUCGACUACAUAAUUUGUAGUAGUUGGGGAUUGUGUUUGUGCCCCAU
Small nuclear RNA from Mastomys coucha (southern multimammate mouse), 159 nucleotides. RefSeq annotates it as U1 spliceosomal RNA. The transcript has a single exon. NCBI's taxonomy places the organism in Eukaryota, Metazoa, Chordata, Mammalia, Rodentia, Muridae. The record is from RefSeq and is a predicted model, not a curated record.